Molecule: ribosomal RNA, 207 nt
Filed under: uncultured Pseudomonadota bacterium
Lineage: Bacteria; Pseudomonadati; Pseudomonadota
Description: uncultured proteobacterium partial 16S ribosomal RNA
Rfam family: Bacterial small subunit ribosomal RNA
Source: RNAcentral
CACGCAGGCGGUCGGAUAAGUCAGAUGUGAAAGCCCCGGGCUCAACCUGGGAACUGCAUUUGAAACUGUCUGACUAGAGUCUUGUAGAGGGGGGUAGAAUUCCAGGUGUAGCAGUGAAAUGCGUAGAGAUCUGGAGGAAUACCGGUGGCGAAGGCGGCCCCCUGGACAAAGACUGACGCUCAGGUGCGAAAGCGUGGGGAGCAAACA